AACUCCCAUCUCUGGUGCGGUGCAGGGAACGUUCAGUACAUUGUCAGCAUCUGAGAGGGCACAGCUGUACCGGGGAGAUCACUGAUGGAUAUUCCUGCAGUCCAGACAACUUUCCAGAGCUGGUAAAAUAGACACUGGGCAAAACGUGACUGAGCACCAACUUUCUACCUCAGACCUCUAAACCUCGUAAAGUCAGCAAGGCACCAUCAAUGAGAACUGUAAUCACGGAAUAUCACAAACACCUACAACAGCAGAUACAGAAUGGAACAAAACCAGGCCAAGCCCCACGCUCAGGAAGACUUGUGCCCUAAAUCCCCUGGCAAGCCGCGGCCCCCAGCAUUGGGCUGAUCCAGGGCCCAGGCUCCGGGCGGCUGGCGCUGGCUGCGCUGGGACCAUCCCAGCACU
This 405-nucleotide long non-coding RNA is filed under the name Cyanistes caeruleus (blue tit). Its description in RNAcentral is "lncRNA (ENSCCEG00000021511.1)". Lineage: Eukaryota; Metazoa; Chordata; Aves; Passeriformes; Paridae. The record is from RNAcentral.